UUACUUUUUGUUGGACUAGAGUAAAUCUCUUACUCACAUCCUUCCUUUUGUACCGUAAGGUACUAAUAUCCCCACUUAUGUUAUCCACCUCACGAUUAAGUUGAUACUCGAGAUACAUGCCAUCGUUCGAUCUAUCAUCACCAAUAGUCGGGUACAUGCAAUCGUUCGAUCUAUCAUCACUAAUAGUCGAGAUUUUAGUACUAACUUGAUCAUGGGGUGGAUAGCACGGGUGAAGAUAUUAGUAUCUUACGGUUCUAGUACCUCACGGUAAAAAAGAAGGUCGGGAAUAAAACUCUUCUUCCGAUGUUCUUGUCUUAACAGUGCAUGUGUUUGGCAAGUACCUGUUUGCUUACUGUACCAUGAAUACGAAGGGAACUAUCCGUCCACAGUAUGCCGUGCUGACUAGUUGGAAAUGAACCCCUCGUGUUUCAAAAUAUCCUCUUUUUUUUACCGAAAUUUCAGAGCAUUCUGAUUCUGCGAUAUUCUUUUAGUUUGGUAAAAUAUGCUUGUAGAUCAUGCCAAAAAAGAACUGGACAUGCUUUCCCGUAGUGAUCCACGUUCUCUAAUUGUAAUCACUAAUUUGUAUAUGCAAUUUAUCUCUAGAAAUUGACACUAGUGAACCAAGAAAUUAAUAUAACUGACGAAGAGUUGGGAAUAGUUCACUUUGUGCAGGCGUGCUAGGAUUAUCAUCAAGUGUUCUACAUCUAAUAGGACACUGAAGCAGUAAAAUAAACACUGGCCAUUUAUUGACUUCUGCUUGUACAUGUGUAGAAGUAUCUCGUGAUUUCUGCCGUAUAGGAACUGUCUGUGUACUCGUUUUGUGUGUAGAAUGGAAUAUCAGUACUGUGCUGUCAUCCAUGACCAAUAUUCUCGCUAAUACUAUUGCGUGAUUUAACUAAACAGUUAGCUACCUCUUCCUGGAACAGUGUAUUAGCACCAAGAAGAACAUACCUGAGUUCUUCAUGCGUGUAGGACCAACCAACUAAACACUGUUGGCUUCCCUCACCUGCAUCUAAUUUGCUCUCUCAGCAAAGUCUUUAUCAUGCUUACAAGGACAGUGCUACGGAAAUCGAUCGGUAGCUCUCUGCAAGUUCCAUUUUUCUUUGUCAGGGACAUGCAUCUAAGUUCUAGGUCUUGCUUUGCUCAUAGUGAUAUGCACACUUGUCUCUGUCUGUCCUUAAGCACAGUUUGUUUACAAAGAUGUGCUACAGUGCUAAUAAUAGACUGGAAACUUCAGUAUAAGGAAAAAGUUAACUUGCUCCGUUAGUGGUCAAGAAAAUAUUAUGGGAAAAGAAUAAUUUUGACAGGAGAAAGGUCCAUGCUUACCAUUUCGUCAAAUUCAGGUGAACCAUUUCAGAUGUGUCUCUGAACCUUCCUAUGGGCUCCGCUAUCUAACACACCAAAUAAAUGACCAAAUUAACUCCUCGUCAGUAUCAUGUUUCCUCCAAAGUUUUCAUGCAAAAUUCCACGAGUUUCUACGACUUUCCAACUACCGAAUGGCCGCGAGGUCAAGAAUCCGAUCACCACGUAGGACCUCGUUUCUGACUAAAAUGUUUGAGCUACUAGCUGCAUUCAGAUGACCCAAUCAAGAAGACAGGAAGAACAUUAGAACAGUGUCUUACCAAUGCAUCGAUGAUCAAUCCAUCCAUCCAUGGACGUGCUACUUAGCUCAAAAGCUCAAGCUCCCUUCUCAUGGCGCCACCGCC
RNAcentral lists this long non-coding RNA (1706 nucleotides) under Oryza brachyantha (malo sina). Its description in RNAcentral is "long non-coding RNA (OBRA_LNC000640)". The record is from RNAcentral. Lineage: Eukaryota; Viridiplantae; Streptophyta; Magnoliopsida; Poales; Poaceae.